ACGAACAGACGGAAACGAACUGCUAAUACCGAAUAAGUUCCAAGAGCCGCAUGGCCCAUGGAAGAAAAAGGUAGGCCUCUACCUGUAAGCUAUCGCCUGAAGAGGGGUUUGCGUCUGAUUAGCUGGUUGGAGGGGGUAACGGGCCCACCAAGGCGACGAUCAGUAGCCGGUCUGAGAGGAUGAACGGCCACACUGGAACUGAGACACGGUCCAGACUCCUACGGGAGGCAGCAUG
Molecule: ribosomal RNA, 235 nt
Filed under: uncultured bacterium
Lineage: Bacteria
Description: partial 16S ribosomal RNA
Rfam family: Bacterial small subunit ribosomal RNA
Source: RNAcentral